GGAGCAGCAGGGACUGGUUUGAAACUGCCUGCAGUACAAACUCUGCCCCUGCUGCUAAGA
RNAcentral lists this microRNA precursor (60 nucleotides) under Echinococcus granulosus. RNAcentral's name for it is "microRNA egr-mir-10237 precursor". The record is from miRBase by way of RNAcentral. Lineage: Eukaryota; Metazoa; Platyhelminthes; Cestoda; Cyclophyllidea; Taeniidae.